AUGGAUGGUGCUAAUCUGAAUGCACAGGUGGGUUUAACUAGCCCUGGUUUUAUUGGAGCGGAUGUUUGUCAUCUCAAUCUCCACAAGACUUUCUGUAUCCCUCACGGUGGUGGUGGUCCCGGUAUGGGCCCUAUCGGUGUGAAGCAACAUUUGGCUCCAUUCCUACCUUCUCACCCUGUGAUACCUACUGGUGGUAUCCCUGAACC
Camelina sativa (false flax) is the source of this 206-nucleotide non-coding RNA. Lineage: Eukaryota; Viridiplantae; Streptophyta; Magnoliopsida; Brassicales; Brassicaceae. The record is from RefSeq and is a predicted model, not a curated record.